UGAUCUUCUAGGCAGAUAUAGCCGGUUGGCUAAGAUCAAGUGUAGUAUCUGUUAUUAUUAUUAUUAUUAUUAUUAUUAUUAUUAUUAUUAUUAUUAUUAUUAUUAUUAUUAUUACACUUUAUAUUCCACUCUAUCUCCCCGGAGAGACUCAGAGCGGAUUACAGAACACAUAUGAGGCAAACACGACAGACAGAGGUAAAGUUCUUCCCCCU
This is a small nuclear RNA of Anolis carolinensis (green anole), 212 nucleotides long. Its record names the gene U2. It matches the Rfam family "U2 spliceosomal RNA". From Rfam's summary of the family: U2 is a small nuclear RNA (snRNA) component of the spliceosome (involved in pre-mRNA splicing). Complementary binding between U2 snRNA (in an area lying towards the 5' end but 3' to hairpin I) and the branchpoint sequence (BPS) of the intron results the bulging out of an unpaired adenosine, on the BPS, which initiates a nucleophilic attack at the intronic 5' splice site, thus starting the first of two transesterification reactions that mediate splicing. The record is from Ensembl. Lineage: Eukaryota; Metazoa; Chordata; Lepidosauria; Squamata; Anolidae.